Molecule: ribosomal RNA, 782 nt
Filed under: Tenacibaculum aestuarii
Lineage: Bacteria; Pseudomonadati; Bacteroidota; Flavobacteriia; Flavobacteriales; Flavobacteriaceae
Description: bacterial SSU rRNA
Rfam family: Bacterial small subunit ribosomal RNA
Source: RNAcentral
GCAGUCGAGGGGUAACAGGGUGCUUGCACCGCUGACGACCGGCGAACGGGUGCGUAACGCGUAUAGAAUCUGCCUUGUACAGGAGGAUAGCCUUUAGAAAUGAAGAUUAAUACUCCAUAAUGUUGAGAUGUGGCAUCACUUUUAAGUUAAAGAUUUAUCGGUACAAGAUGACUAUGCGUCCUAUUAGCUAGAUGGUAAGGUAACGGCUUACCAUGGCAACGAUAGGUAGGGGGUCUGAGAGGAUUAUCCCCCACACUGGUACUGAGACACGGACCAAACUCCUACGGGAGGCAGCAGUGAGGAAUAUUGGUCAAUGGAGGCAACUCUGAACCAGCCAUGCCGCGUGCAGGAAGACUGCCCUAUGGGUUGUAAACUGCUUUUAUACAGGAAGAAACAGUCGUACGAGUACGACCUUGACGGUACUGUAAGAAUAAGCACCGGCUAACUCCGUGCCAGCAGCCGCGGUAAUACGGAGGGUGCAAGCGUUAUCCGGAAUCAUUGGGUUUAAAGGGUCCGCAGGCGGUCAAUUAAGUCAGAGGUGAAAUCCCAUAGCUUAACUAUGGAACUGCCUUUGAUACUGGUUGACUUGAGUUAUACGGAAGUAGAUAGAAUAAGUAGUGUAGCGGUGAAAUGCAUAGAUAUUACUUAGAAUACCGAUUGCGAAGGCAGUCUACUACGUAUAUACUGACGCUCAUGGACGAAAGCGUGGGGAGCGAACAGGGAUUAGAUACCCUGGUAGUCCACGCCGUAAACGAUGGACACUAGUUGUUGGGCUUCGGUUC